Molecule: long non-coding RNA, 2013 nt
Organism: Suricata suricatta (meerkat)
Lineage: Eukaryota; Metazoa; Chordata; Mammalia; Carnivora; Herpestidae
Exons: 2
Source: RefSeq, a predicted model, not a curated record
GUCCGCGUUCUGCGCAGGUGAGGCGUGAGGCACGGGCUCACACCCCGCCCCCGCGGGGCUCCCCUCGGUGUCCGCCCGCCACGCCCCCACCCACCUUCCUGAGCAGCUCAGCGUGGGUGCUGAUGAGCUCGCUGUGCUUCUCCUUGAGCUUCUGGUAGCGGGCUUCAGUGGCGCUGGCCCUCUCUGCAAGGGGCAGGAGAGGCGCUGGUUCCCGGGCGCCUGCCUCCCUCCCCCACCGCCACCCCCCUGCCCGGCGGCCCACGCACUCUCGGCCUCCUCGCGCAGGCCCUGGCUCCGCUGGGCGUCGCGCUGGGCGGCCCGCAGCUGGGCCAGCUCGUGGCGCAGCUGCUCAUUGUCCACCAGCGCCUUCUGCUUCUGCUUGCGCUGCUCCUCCAGCUCGGCCUCCAGCGCGUUCACCUGGCCCUUCAGCUGUGACACGUAGCGCUGGGCCUGCGCGCACAAGGACUGGGGUGUGGGACCCCCGCCCGUGGGUGUGCCACGCAGCCCCAGCCCCGCCUCCCCUGCCCUCACCUCCAGCUUGAUCUUCUCCAGCUCCGCACGGAGCGCCUCCACCUCUCUCUUCAGGGUCUCGAUCUGCACGUCCCUGGGGACAGAUGGCCUUCAAGGUCAGCCCCGACCACAGCUCAGCCCCCACUGCAGGCGGCACCUGGGCCCUCACCUCACCUAUCAUCCUUCAAGGAGCCAUUGGGGGGUCCGAACGUCUGCUCAAAGAGGUCAGCCACCACCUGCCACACAAGCAAUGGUGACUCACGGCCCCAGGGCCUGCAGGCCAGAGGAGGGCAGGGGCAGAGGGACACCCGACCAGAAGGGGGUGAGGGUGGGGGACCUCACCGCUGGCUCUGCGGCAGGAGGCCCCGUGCUGAUCUCGAUGAGGUUCUCGGGCUCCUCGUCCUCAGGGGCCUCCUCGGGGAUCACCACCACAGGCUUGAUGUGCUCCGCCAGCGCCGAGGCCCGCAGGAAGUUGGGAGGCCCCUGCGGGAGGGGCGAUGAGUGGGAGGUGCUCACGGCCCGGAGGAAGCCCCCCUCAGUCAUCCCCAGGGCCCAAGUAGGGACCCCUGGGCACUGGGGUCCCCCAAGCGCCCAGAGUGGGAGCAAGGCUGCAGCCCAGGGGCAGCCGGGGCGGGGGAGCACAGGUACCUCAGGCAGCCGGGGGAUCUGGAUGAGCCGCUUGAAGUAGAGCAUGUCAGAGGCUCUGCGGAAGAAGUUUCUGAGGCUGCAGGUGGGGGGCAGACGAGGGGAGGUCACAGAGCAGCCGGACCCGGCCAAGCAGCCCCAGCUCACCAGGCUGCAGAGGCUCCUCCCUGCCCGGGCCGCACCUGUGGAACUGCUCAUGGAACCGGUCCCUGUGUCCUUGCAGGGUGUCAGCUGGGAGACCUAAGGGCAAGGACAUUAGACAGGACUUCCCCUCUGCCCCUGCUCUGUGACCUGCAAAGACUUAACCUUCCCUCUCUCCCUCCCGCUGCCCCUCUGCUCCGCCACAUUCUAGAAACCAUCGUAGAGGAGAGAGCACCUGCUGCCUGGCCAGGCUCCCCACCAACUGGGAGAGAGAGGGGGUGCUGUGAAAUCGCUCUGGACUCCAGCCUGGGGUGACAGCAUUCUAAAAGCUCAUUCAUCCCAGGCCCAUGGGUCUCAGGAUGGGGUGUGGGGACAGAGACCUCUUCAGAGGGUCCUCCAGGGCCAAACCCUCUGUGAACACUAAGGAGGCGACGUGCGCCUCUUUGGAUGUGUCACACGAGGCACCACGGGGGCCUGACCUCAGAUGCAGGCGCCCCGGCAAAUGCCUCCUCCAAGACGAGGCGUUUCAGAGAACUGCAAACGUGUAAAACCCACGGCCCUCUUCUCCCCGAGUCCUCGUGGUGGAGAACGGCGCUUUCCCACCCCAGCUACACUGUUUCUGUGAACGGGGAGUGUCUGACAGCGUGGACAGAGCCUGCUUGGGAUUCUCUCUGCCCUGCCCCCUACAUCUCAAAAAUAAACAUUUUAUAAAAAUAA